This 2025-nucleotide long non-coding RNA is filed under the name Citrus x clementina. Its description in RNAcentral is "Citrus clementina (C. clementina) long non-coding RNA (CCLE_LNC004084)". Lineage: Eukaryota; Viridiplantae; Streptophyta; Magnoliopsida; Sapindales; Rutaceae. The record is from RNAcentral.
GACAAAAGAACUUUGAAGUGAAAAAUAUUAUUAACAUAAAUAUAAUUCAUUACAAAGAAAUCUAAAAUCAAAAAGGUAAACAAUCAAUACUCUAAAAAUAAGAUUACAUCAUAGAAGAAAAAUAAAAGAAACAUUACACAAAAGCAUAAUUAAGUAAACAACAGGUUGUUGUUUCAUGAAUGCUUCAACUUCCUUAAAUUUGCUAUCUUCUUCCUUGAUUUUAACUUUUUAUCUGUGUUGUGCUAAGACAAUGUUGUAGUAGAAGAUGACUUUGAAGGUACCUGUCAUUUUUUUAUCUUUAUAAAAUUAAAGAUUUUUCCAAAAGUAUUUCACAAUUUGAUCAUCUAUUAUUGGUACAUCAUUUUUCUCUAUCUAUCAUUUGUCUUUACAUGAUUAAAAAAUAAUAUUAAUAAUAAAAAACUUGAGAAAACACUUAAUUGGUAUAGGAGAAUAAUCUUAUAAAAGAAAAUCUUAUUGCCAAAAUGAAAGAAUAGUAAAUAGCAAGGCAAAUAGCUAUAAAUAAAAAUAUUUAGGUAAGAAUGCAAAAAUAAUUAAAUUCUCAAUGAAACAUAUCCGCAAUCAAUUCUUUCAUCCAAUAAAAAAAUGGAAACAAUUCUAAAUGAAAGACAUGAGAUUACAAGCACAUACUUGCUUUCAUUAUUACUUCAAAUUAACAAUAUAAUCACAAGAUUACAAGCACAUAAUCAACCUCGAUUCACUUGCACAAAUUUUACAUCCAAAGCUCUGAACUUAAUCGAUUAAACAGUUGGUGUCAAACUUGAACUAAAUUAAAUUAUUAAGCAGUCAAUAAAUCAACAUUUACAGUACAAUAAAUAUAAAGUUGAAAGAAAUAAAAGAUUAAGUCAAAAAAUAAAAAUAAGAUAACUUACACAUUUAGAUUUUGUAUGGAGACUACUUGAACCUUUUUCGCUCACUCUAAUACAUUUUUCUUAAACAAAGUAAUCGAGGAAACUCUCUUCAUACAAUUUUGACUAAACAUACAACGACCACUUGGGGAAAAAAAAGGCUUUUUGACCUUUAUUUAGUCACUUCAUCUACACUUCCUAGCAUAUCCAGCAAAUCCAACAAUAUUUUCAGCAAACUUUAUUAACCCAAGCUUCUAAAUCGUCCUUCCAACCAACACUGGUUUUAAAAUUAAAAGUUGGAACUUAACUUAUUAUAAUUCGGUUGGACUCAAUNNNNNNNNNNNNNNNNNNNNNNNNNNNNNNNNNNNNNNNNNNNNNNNNNNNNNNNNNNNNNNNNNNNNNNNNNNNNNNNNNNNNNNNNNNNNNNNNNNNNGAUAUCAGCACACCUAAACCCACUGCUCAAAUUGAAAAACAAAUUCAUCUUAAUAUCCUAAUUUUGCAAAAGUUUCUCAAAACCUACUAAACUUUGCUUCAAAUUCCUUCAUUCAUUUGCAUAUAUUUUAUGUUUUUCUUUUACUAGAUUCUCUUAGGAAUUUUAUCAAGCACCUGAUAAGCAUAAAAAUAUUCAAAUAAUAGAUCUAAGAAUUUCAAUCCCUAAUUUUACCAAACACAAAAAUAUGAAUUUCACAUAAUCCAAUCACAAUUAAACUAAUCAAAAUUAAAUUGGCUGAGUUUAUAUAUACUCACAAUUUCGAAGUAGAACGAGAGAUGAGAGUGAAUUUUGCUGAGUGGCUGAUUUUGGCAUGCAUGAGUGGACUGGUGAGGGUGGCGUGCUUUUGGGCGGCGGCAAAGUGAGGUGGCCUCCAUAGUCAUGCGUUUUUGUUCUGUUAUCAUCAUUCACACACACUCACGCAUAAAUUGGAAAGGAUUACAAAAGAUAAAGAUGGGUAGUUUUUUAAUACAAAACCAAUUAAAGUGAAGUGGCCUGGGAGAGAGUGGGAGGAAAUUAAAUGGUUUUGUUUGGAUAACAACAAAAUUGGCCAGGGAAUCAGUGGGAGGGGAUUUAUUUGUAUUUCACGAUUUCAUUAGAGAAACUUAUAUUCUAUUUAAGUUUAGUUAUUCUUUUAUUUUAAUUUUUAUCCAAUAUAAUAUGUAUUCU